This 1136-nucleotide long non-coding RNA is filed under the name Medicago truncatula (barrel medic). RNAcentral describes it as "long non-coding RNA (MTRU_LNC006756)". Lineage: Eukaryota; Viridiplantae; Streptophyta; Magnoliopsida; Fabales; Fabaceae. The record is from RNAcentral.
UUUCUGUACCGGUUCCGGAAGAGCGAAGAAAAAGGGGAUGUUUUGUUAAUAGGAAUAAUAAAGUGUUUAUAGCCGUAGCGAUAUAAACAAGAAUACUCAUCCGAGCCGCAGGAACAUGUACAUAAAGAAUACGAGAAUUUCCACCUUGUUGAAGAUCUAAUGGUGCUACCCGAAGACUUAAAUGAAUAGCCAUCGCUGUUAAGAACAACCGAGAUCCAAUGAGAAUUAGCGCACAGCUUCUGGUCUUUGACAUCAAAAAAUAAGGUUGUAAUAACGAUAACGAAAGGGACAUCUGAUAAUUUUGUCCUAGCUAGUGGAACAAGAAAGACAUGGAUCUAUAUUCAAUACGCAAUCAAAGGAUUUCUCCCAACGAAUAAUUCCCCCUGCUUAGUUUUCGCUCCGCUCGUGCGUGGCACUCCUUGCUGGCGGAGCGGCAUACCGGAAAAAAGAAAAAUUAAAAAAAAAGAAAGAAGAGAGAGCCCCCCCAAAAAACCCGACUCUACUAUUAUCAUCUUUCUAAAAAGAGAUGGUAGUAGUGAAGGGCUCUUCUGACCUGUCGAUAUGGAAUACUGUUUCGGGUACCAAAAGUUUCGAUUUGAUUUAGAUGAUUUCUGUACGUUUUUAAAUAAAGUGCCUUCCCCUCCGGAUAAAAAAGAAAGCCCCGUAUCUGAUCUAUUUUUUCUAAGACACUUUGACGAGCAUACCCGUCCUCAACAAGUGCUGCUUCGAUAUGUUUUUCAAUUGGAAGAUGAGUCUGAACAAAGGAGUCCACAUGUGUUUCGUCAUACACAUAACCCAACCAAUUUGCCCUUAAGCGCAAAUUUAGGUCUCUAAGACGGGUGUUGUCAUCGAGAAGCGGAGGCUCCAGUUCGGGAAUAAAAAAAAGGCUGUUGAUUUUCCGGUGCUCCAGCCUGAGGUUCUGGAGCCCCCCCGGGGUAAGCGAGCGGAUUAGGAAGGGGGUGGGCAACCUCUUCCUCCUCUUCCCCUAAAACGUCGAGGUCGAAAGAGGUCCAGCCCGAGCUCGAACCUUCGUGUGAACCCACACCCACUAUGGAGUUGGAUCCACCGGACGAAUGGCUAGUAGUGGGAAGUACAGGGGAGACGAGAAUAUCGAAUAAAACCGAAUACAAGUUAUA